GGGGGGUUUAGUACGUAAGCGCCAUGGAUGGCGAAUCGUGCAUGCUGCUAUUAAGAAUCAGCAGUAUCUUUUGAAGAUUUUCUACC
Non-coding RNA from Glossina pallidipes, 86 nucleotides. The record is from Rfam. NCBI's taxonomy places the organism in Eukaryota, Metazoa, Arthropoda, Insecta, Diptera, Glossinidae.